Molecule: long non-coding RNA, 276 nt
Filed under: Lathyrus oleraceus (garden pea)
Lineage: Eukaryota; Viridiplantae; Streptophyta; Magnoliopsida; Fabales; Fabaceae
Description: Pisum sativum (pea) long non-coding RNA (PSAT_LNC037414)
Source: RNAcentral
UUCUUUAUAUUCCAUAUAUUUUUUAAUUCAUUUUAUUCUUCUAAAUGUGAAACUAGGAUUUGCAUCACAAUCAACAUUAAUGUUAGUUUCAUUCCAUGUGCAAUUUUUCUGUCAUUAUAUUCGUGAGACCAAGUUUAUAUCACUAUCAAUAUCAAUGUAUCUUUCAUUCCAUGUGCAGAAAUUAAUGAAUAAAAAAUGUGUGAGUUGGUUUUUGGGAGAAAUCAAUUGUAACAAGAACCCUAUAUCCUAGGCAUCCCUCUCCUGUCUUGUCUCUAU